Molecule: ribosomal RNA, 404 nt
Filed under: Candida tropicalis
Lineage: Eukaryota; Fungi; Ascomycota; Pichiomycetes; Serinales; Debaryomycetaceae
Description: eukaryotic LSU rRNA
Rfam family: Eukaryotic large subunit ribosomal RNA
Source: RNAcentral
GCCUUAGUAGCGGCGAGUGAGCGGCAAAGCUCAAAUUUGAAAUCUGGCUCUUUCAGAGUCCGAGUUGUAAUUUGAAGAAGGUAUCUUUGGGUCUGGCUCUUGUCUAUGUUUCUUGGAACAGAACGUCACAGAGGGUGAGAAUCCCGUGCGAUGAGAUGAUCCAGGCCUAUGUAAAGUUCCUUCGAAGAGUCGAGUUGUUUGGGAAUGCAGCUCUAAGUGGGUGGUAAAUUCCAUCUAAAGCUAAAUAUUGGCGAGAGACCGAUAGCGAACAAGUACAGUGAUGGAAAGAUGAAAAGAACUUUGAAAAGAGAGUGAAAAAGUACGUGAAAUUGUUGAAAGGGAAGGGCUUGAGAUCAGACUUGGUAUUUUGUAUGUUACUUCUUCGGGGGUGGCCUCUACAGUUU